AUGCAGCCUUUUCCUAUGUCCUGUGUCCUGUGGCCUCUGUCCUAUAGCCUGUGUCUUGUUCCCUCUUUCCUUCAGCCUGUGUUGUGUAGCAUGUGUCAGUGUCCUGUAGCUUACGGCCUGUAUCCUUUGUUCUGUAGCUCUGUCCUGUGUACCAUAGCCUCUGUCCUGGAGCCUCUGUCCUGUGACCUGUGUCCUAUGUUGUAUAGCCUGUGUCCUGAGUCCUGUAGCCUGUCCCUGUGUCCUGUAGCCUGUCCCUGUGUCCUGUAGCCUUUGUCCUUGUCUGUAGCCUGUAACCUGUGUCCCAUAGCCUGUGUCCUGUGUUUGGUAUUCUGUGUCCUAUAUCCUGUGUCCCAUAUCAUCUGGGCUAUGUCCUGUGUCCUGUAGCCUGUGGCCUCUGUGCUGCAGCCUGUGUCCUGUGGUCUAUGUCCUGUGUCUUGAGUCCUGUAGCCUAUGUCUUCUGUCCUGUGUUCGGGGUCCUGUAGCCAGUGUAUUGUGUCUGAUAGUCUAUUUCCUUUGUCCUUUUUACUAUAGCCUAUGUCCUGUAUCCUGUGUGAUGUCGCUGUGUCCUGUGCUUUAGCCUCUGUCCUGUGUAUGUGUCCUGUGUCCUAUGUCUUGUAUGCUGUGUUCUAUAUCCUGUGAUCUAUAGGCUAUAACCUUGUUCCAUAGCCUGUGUUCUAACCUGUGUCCUGAGUGGUUCCCUCACACUGUGUGGUCUAGCCUGUGUCCUGUGUCGUGUAGUCUGUGGCCUCUGUGCUGUGUCAUUUAUCUUUGUCUUGUAGUCUGUGGCCUGUGUCCUUUUGUCUAUAUCCUGUAUCCUGUAUCCUGUGUUCUAUGUUGUGUAGCCUGUGUCCUAUGUCUUGUAGCCUCAGGCCUAUGUAUCCAACCUGUGUUCUGUGGCCUCUGUCGUCUAGCUGGUGUCCUGUGUCCUGAGCCAGUGUCCUGUGUCCUGAGCUGUGGCCUGUAUUCUUUGUCCUAGGGCUGACUUCCUCUCUGCUGUAGCCUGUGUACUGUAUACUGAAGCCGGUGUCUUGUACCUGUGGACAAUGUCCUGUAGUAUGUGUCCUGUGUCCUAUGUCCUGUGGCCUGAGGCCUAUGUCCUGUGUCUUGUGUCCCAUAGCCUGUGUCUUAUGUCCUGUGUUCUGUGUCCUGUAGCCUGUGUCCUGUGUCCCAUAGCCUGUGUCUAAUGUCCUGUGCUCUGUGUCCUGUAGCCUGUGUCCUGUGUCCCAUAGCCUGUGUCUUAUGUCCUGUGUUCUGUGUUCUGUGGCCU
Molecule: long non-coding RNA, 1267 nt
Filed under: Oryctolagus cuniculus (rabbit)
Lineage: Eukaryota; Metazoa; Chordata; Mammalia; Lagomorpha; Leporidae
Description: lncRNA (ENSOCUG00000037153.1)
Source: RNAcentral